GUCCUCUAUUUCUUUUUCUUUUUGAUUUUAUUUUUCCUGUGCUAUCACGUCCAUAUUUCAAAAAUCGUUUUUCUUAUGGUGUACUCAGUUCUGACUCAUCAUCCGUGUCUUUUACUUGCUCCGUUUCCUCAUGAUCAUACUGUGUAUUCGUCCCUAUUACCUUCCAUAGAUUCCUAUGUAGUUCACUAUCAUUCUCCUUAUCCUUUUUAAUCAUUUCAAUGCCAUUUCUCAGAAGCCCAUUAUUUUGGGCUAUAACUCUUAUAGGAACUCUUAACCAUUUACCGUAUUGGAAUA
RNAcentral lists this long non-coding RNA (294 nucleotides) under Gossypium barbadense (sea-island cotton). RNAcentral describes it as "long non-coding RNA (GBAR_LNC015337)". The record is from RNAcentral. Lineage: Eukaryota; Viridiplantae; Streptophyta; Magnoliopsida; Malvales; Malvaceae.